UAGCCCCACCCCUCAAGCCUCUGGCAAUCUUUUCCCCGUAGUCGGACUGCACUCCCAGCUGUCGGAUAUUUCCUGUCAGUCAACAUUUCCCCGACCUUUUCCCACACAUCCAGGACGAAAAGGCUUUGUGGCUAACAGGAGAUGACAAAUGAACAUGUGCCCUCCUCCUCGUGAGUGUGUCCUGCCAGCGGCUGCUUCUGUUCACUGCCCAGCCCACAAGCAGAUCUGAGCGGAUCGCCAGCAACUGCGUUGGAGGACACUUCACACAUAGCGAGCCGGUGCCUGGCUGACCGGUGGAUCUGCCCUUCAGUGACAAGUCAGGGAAAACCCAAGCAAAUGAAAUCAUCCCUCCCUGAGCAACUCUAUGGAAAAUGACUUGCUGACCUGAGGGGCUGCCACUGUCAGUGCUCACUCAAGAUCAAGAACACUCUCCAGGAUGUUGGCAUAGAUGUGUCAAAGAGGACCUUCAAGAGACGACUACACCAGCAUAACCUCAGAGAGAAAAAAAAUUGCCC
Conger conger (European conger) is the source of this 515-nucleotide long non-coding RNA. RefSeq lists it as uncharacterized. NCBI's taxonomy places the organism in Eukaryota, Metazoa, Chordata, Actinopteri, Anguilliformes, Congridae. The transcript has 3 exons. The record is from RefSeq and is a predicted model, not a curated record.